This is an RNA transcript of Tachysurus fulvidraco (yellow catfish), 3426 nucleotides long. It is a transcript of the gene named scaffold protein involved in DNA repair, with no coding region annotated. The record is from RefSeq and is a predicted model, not a curated record. The transcript is spliced from 21 exons. NCBI's taxonomy places the organism in Eukaryota, Metazoa, Chordata, Actinopteri, Siluriformes, Bagridae.
GUCAGUGUUGCGAGUCUGUUCCACUGACGUGAACCGCAGAAGAAGUCAUUGUUUUUGCAGCCCGGGAAAACAACUCUCCUUACACCCUGUUAGCAUGUUGCUAACUCACAAACUACACGGCGGUGAAGGCGGCCGUCAUUCGACACAAACACUUUAACGGUCUAACCGCGUUAUUCAUUUACUUUAUUAUACAUUAGCGCAAUGCCUUCGUUUUCAAAGCACAAGAGGAACACCAGGGAUAUGAGGUGCGUGUUGUUUCCGGAUGACGUCAGGGAGACGUUCGUCAGGAGGGGAACCUGCGAGACGCCGAAAUCCGCAAAGUCGUCAUGGGAGAGAUGCGGGGACAGCUUCCUGGACACGCCUGUGAUGGAGAAACGCGUCACUGUAGGACAGACAAGUAGGGCGGUGCAUCAGCUGGCACAGAUUUCCACAUCUGGGCACGAGGAUCCCGUCCACAUUGCCUGGACGUCGAGCGAGGACGAGCAGUCUGACGGAGAACGCCAGCUUCCUCUCUCUUUCACCAAGGCAGCUCGGAGAGCCAGACCGGAGGUCAGCGUGUCCGGAAGAUACGGUCGCUUCCUCAGCACAGGAGCAGAGACAGACGAGCUUCCAACCAUCGAUUCAGAAAGCGAGCAUGAGGACAAUUCUACUUCAAACGAGCGAAUUUCUCCGGUGGUUGCUGAGAUCUCAGACUACUCUUCCGAUAGCGACGGAGAUCCCGACCCCAGCCGUCUGGAUUCUCCUGCUGGGGAGCGACAGAAGUCCAUCAGCGAGUGGCUCCGAUCAGCCCAAGCGCUGCUCCAGACGCCCCCGAAACAAACCGAUAAGCCCUCGAAGACACCCGAAGACUCUGGGAAAAAGAAGCGCAAGUUUGAAAGUCGAGGGCUCGCAGAGAGACUGAACAGGCUUCAAUCUCGACAGAAGUCAGCUAUAAGCUUCUGGAGACACCAGCCUGUGUCCAGCAUUACCACAGGAACAGAGGAGAGACCAGGCGUGUUGGUGCUCCACGUUCAGAAGGUGUGGGAGGUUUGCGGGAUGCAGGCUGCACUGUGCCAGAGACGCCCCGAGAGCGAGACGUGCGUCGCCCUGUUCAGCAGGGAAACAGCCACUCAGCUGGCACCCAGCGCAGGAGACACCAUCCAUGUCUAUCCACCCUGGCAAAGCCUGACCGUCGACGGCGAGCGUCAUCCCAUCAUCCUCAACACUCAUUUCAGUCAGAAAGUUGUAAGAACGUCAAAGCAGGACAACGACGGGACUCGCUUAAGGGUUCCGUGCCUCAAGGAGAAGACCAAACCUUAUCCUUUAACCAGGUGCUUAUGGAAAAGGGAAGAGGAUUUCAAGUCUUCUCAGGCAUUCGUUGCUAACAGACAGCCCCACAUGGACGUAGGAAGUGCCUCUGAAUCUCUGCUGGAGGCUUUGGAUACUUGUGGGACCACAGGAUCUGUGUGCGGUCCUGUGGAGGUGGUGGUCCAGAGGGUCUAUUCCGAGUCUGUCGCACAGUUUCCUCACACAAGCUUACUUAGAUACCGAACACUUAGCAAGUGUCUCCCUGAAACAGCAAAGCAACAACACUUCAGCAGGUGUUGUUUGCUGGUGCAGGAUAUUCACGGCAUGUUCAGCGAGGUGGAGAUGCAGUACGCGUGUUCAGAAGAGGAGCUAAAAGACUUAACAGAGCAGCUGCAGGGAAAAGUGUGUCUGCUGCAGGGACUGAAGGUGAUCCAGCGCCUCACUCGCGAGAGAUGUGCUCAGCUCUUCAGUUUGAUUGACAGUUUGUGGCCUCCUGCGGUUCCUCUGCACGUCCCUGGAGAAGGCUCAUGCUAUCAGACUGUUAAAGCUUCAGCAGCACCAAGUUUCUGCUACAGACUGGCGGGACAGCGCGACUGUGUGUUGGCUAAACGCGAGUCACCGCUGUACCGCCCUCCUUUCAUUCAGACCCUCCGAGAGAUCUUGCAGGACGAGCCAGUGAGUCGGCGAUGCAGCUUCAAGGGCACGUUGGUGUAUAAGCGAGAGCCGGUCAGUCGGAAAUCGGAUGAAGAAGAGAACGACCUCUUGAUGUUUGUUACGGACUCCAGCCUGCAGGACGAGAAGUGCUCAGGAAGCACGAGCAGGACUCUACCUGUGUACGUGAGCUCCGCCGUCCUGCUCCAGACGUCGGUCCGUCAAGCCGUCGCUGCGCUGACGCCCCGCUUCAGGCCGAGGCUCGUUUUCAGAGACGCCGUGAUCGAGCGAGGGAAGGUCACCAUCUCGAGGCAGUCCGUGGUUCGCCCGGACACGGAGCCACUCGAAAAUCAGAAUGUUUCCUCUGGCCAGUGUGUUCUGCUGGACCGGCUGAGUCCCGAGAGCCCGCCCUGCUCUCUUUGCACCGUUACAGGUGUAGUGAUGGACAUCGAUGAGAAUUCUGCUUUUUCGUGGCCAGUCUGCUGUCAGUGUGGAGGUGAACAUUUAGAAGCCCACGAAGACAGACAAGACGUGUUUUCAUGUGCAGUGUGUGGUAUCGUGGACAAACCAAGCAGAAAGAUGCAGCUGGAAGUGUUUCUCAGCUGCUCGUCUUCGAGUCACUGGACUGUCAAAGUUAAGCUACAGCAAAACUCCAUCAUGUCCCUUCUAGAUUCAACCGGAAACACACAGGUAAUACAGUAGCUCCCAAAUACCUUAUACAAGUCCCUAUUGUGGUGUUGAUACAGGAACUAUAAAAGUUACGAGGUGGAGGCGGUGCUCGGGAAGAGCGUCGGCCCUCUAAACGCCUUCGUCCACGUGGUCACCCGCUCUUCCACCCUCUGGAUGGCGUUGGAGGAGAUCACCCUUUGACCUGGGAUCACAAAUACAUCUGUGUGUCUCACUUCACUGGUCUGUCUAAAUACCAAAGCGAGGAUAAUUUUUUACAGCCUAAUAAAUCUGGGUACGAUCCGUGCAGUGCAUUUUUUACGACCCGUGCUGUCAUGUGAUUUGACCUGAGGUGAUGUGAAGGACCGAAGGACAUGUUCUUAAUCAUACCGAACUGAACGUCUGCUGUGUUAAGAAUGAGGUGCUAUUAAUAGGGUUGUUUUCACAGGUGUUAGUCUGCAGGUAAAACUAACCCUCGGAGCCACACGUUUGUGAAGAGUGCAAAUAAAACAAGUUGGUCAUGAACCUUGCUGAAAAUCAGAAUGAGACUGGAUUAUUUGCCUAUUAAGUAAUAGGACUGUCCCUUUUGCCACACCCACCCUCCAUCCCUCUAUCCCUCCAUUCACACGGAUCAGUUCCGGUCUUUAAGCUCAUUUCAUUUUAUUUCUAUCAAUAUUCCAGUUUUUUGUAUUUUUUACAGACUUGAUAUAAAAUGUUCACUUUUGAAUACAAAGUAUGGAAUUAUGAAACAUGUACCAUAUAUAUGACUUUUUUUCUGUAAUAAUUUAGAAUACAAAAAAAAAAAAAAAAAGGUCCAACAUU